UCUGCUCGGUUAAUCAGGGCUCAGCUGCAA
RNAcentral lists this non-coding RNA (30 nucleotides) under Homo sapiens (human). Lineage: Eukaryota; Metazoa; Chordata; Mammalia; Primates; Hominidae. The record is from RNAcentral.